UACGGAGGGUGCUAGCGUUGUUCGGAAUUACUGGGCGUAAAGAGCACGUAGGCGGGCUCGUAAGUCGAUUGUGAAAGCCCCGGGCUCAAUCCGGGAAUUGCAGUCGAAACUACGAGUCUUGAAUGCCCAAGAGGGUGACGGAAUUCCUGGUGUAGAAGUGAAAUUCGUAGAUAUCAGGAGGAACACCGGAGGCGAAGGCGGUUGCCUGGUGGUGCAUUGACGCUGAGGUGCGAAAGCGUGGGGAGCAAACAGG
Molecule: ribosomal RNA, 253 nt
Filed under: uncultured bacterium
Lineage: Bacteria
Description: partial 16S ribosomal RNA
Rfam family: Bacterial small subunit ribosomal RNA
Source: RNAcentral